UUAGCCUUCUUCUCCUUCACUCUUGUUUCAAUCAGACAUCCAAAUAAAAAAAUUUGAUUCCUCACCCAGCUUCUAACCACUUCAUGCUUAGUUGUUUUGUUGAAGCCUCUCAUGUUACAAAAAAACCCCGCCAUUAGAGAUUUUUGUUGGUACCCCUUCCUUGAACCACCCGAUGAUUUGUCUUAGAUUGUCGAGGAAGA
Molecule: long non-coding RNA, 200 nt
Filed under: Brassica napus (rape)
Lineage: Eukaryota; Viridiplantae; Streptophyta; Magnoliopsida; Brassicales; Brassicaceae
Description: long non-coding RNA (BNAP_LNC025891)
Source: RNAcentral